AUCAUGCAGAAAAUUUAUCUUUUUUGUUUACUAUUUUGUCUAUCAAAUACAGUCUAUCAGCUAGUUUUAUGCAUACUUGUGAAAGCUGGUGCAUGUGUGCAGGUGUGUAUUUGGUGAUUUCUGAAUUCGUAGCCGUUGGAAAGUUAGCUUCAAUACAUGUAAUGUUUUUUCAUGCAUCUCUGAUUUCAUGCGCUUCGUCGCCUUAAAUUCAUGGAUGCUAGCAAUUUUUCUAGAUCGAGAUUAUCAUGUCAAAGGAUCAUCCUUAAGAGAUUGAGGUCUUCUCCUCCUCCUCCCUCUGUGCUGCUUCACCUCCACUCUUCUCAAAUUUCAUUCUCCGACCGUAACCCCUUGACCUAAACAAACCCUAAUCCCCUCAUAACCCCUACCUUCACAAUAUACAGCGCUAGAUCGAGAAAGACCUCUUCUAGAAUGCCAAAUCUCCUCGCAAAACCCUAGUUCGAUUGGGACCUCGCUCCGCAGAACGCUGCAGUAGGGGCAGCAGAUAGGCGCGAUCUUUGCAUAGCUGCAUCUCCCUUACAAUUUGGCGAGACAUCCUAUUGAUUGAGUGAAGCUUGCAAAUUUUACAAGUUGGUAGUUCUUCAUUUGUUCCGGCGGCGUAGUUUCCGAUGGACUGGAGUCGAUGGUUCGAAUCGUUUUCUUGAUGUGUGGAUGGUGGUAGAAGCGGAGGCGUUGCAAUAGGAAUCUCUCACUCUUGGGGAGAUGGGUUGGUCUCAUCCGGAUAUUUCUUUGGACGAUCUCUUGGUCCUGAUCAAAGGAUUUGUGGAUAUACUAAUUCUUGCGUCCGGGUAUCAGUCUUCCGGUCUUCCUGCCUCCUGGGACGUGGAGAACAUCAAGAAAGCCGUGAGAUGGGGCAUAUUCUUCGAAGAUGUGCUUAGACGUCUACAGGACUCUGUUGAUUAUGAGGAUUCCAUGAAGGAACUUGAUGCAGCUUUACUUCAUCUGACCUCCAGUCCAAAUUUCCCUCAGGGCCUUGUACAUAUUUCUUCUGCAACUCUUUCGAAGGGAAGAGACUUGAUUUUAGAACAUUUACUUCAAACUCACCCAUUAGAAGCUGCACAUAUUACUUCUCUUUUGACGGCAACUGUUGAGCUGGAUAUUGACAACCUUACCAACACGGAUAAUGAUGGACUAAAUAUGUAUAUGGACAGGCUGAUGUUGCAUUUGGAAUCACAUAAUUUGAUUUCCAUACCGAAGGACAUGUUCAAGAAAUCUUUAGCUUCAUCAGCAACAGCAGAUUUGAAGAUUUCUGAUAGUGUUUGCAAUACUGGAUCUCCUAGAAAGUCUUACAUCGGAUCAGAGGAAUGCAAUUUUACCGAUCAUUCAUACUUUCUCAUCGAAGAACUCUUAAAGAGGCAAGCUUUGAUUUCACGUGUAUCUUCAGCUGAGAGAGGACUAGAUACUCUUUUAAAGAUUGUUGCAAGGGACAACAUAGUUAGAUCUCAAAAAAACGCAUUGGAAGAGACACUGUCUGUUGAUAUGUCUUUGAAGAGCACAGAAAUGUUGAGUGAGUUUUCUUUGUGGGACCAGUGGAGAUCAAGGUGUCUGUCAUAUCUACUGGACAAAAGAACUAUUAGAAUGCUCUCUGGUGCCAACUUGAUUUUCAGUGCCUCUAAGGUUCAAUGGAUUCGGGUCUUUGAGCCACUCAAAGUUUCAUUGGAUGUUAAAAAUGACAAUCUUCUUGAAAUUAUGGAAAUAUCAUUGUUAGGCUUUAUCUCAAGCAGAUGGAAUUCUCUGAUUGAAUGCUUCAUUUCGCAGACUUAUAAUUUCCUUCCCAUAUCUAAGCAGUACUCUGACCUUCAAUACUUGCUUCAAGGAAAUUCUCUGUGUGUACAUUCUAAAAAGGAAGCUAUGAACUCCAAGGAAAGAGAUAUUCUUGAGUAUGUGACACCAUUAUUAAGCAGUCAACCUCAUAAAUUAUGGCUACUGCCUCCCGUCCUUGCAGCUGCAGCAAUUCCUUCGUGGUCAAUCUUGUUCAGGAUUUACUUGAAUGAAAUAGAAAAGCAGUUUUCUGGAGCUUGUUCUCAGAUCAGAUACUGUGGUUGCAAUCAAGAUGGAAAGGAGCAUCGAGCCUGUGAAGUUGCUGAAAGGAUUCGGUGUCUCUAUGUCGUUCAUAUUCAAAAUUCUCAUCUGAUGUCUGAUGAUUUUAAUGCUCGAUCCUAAUCCAUGGUUUAAGAUUGGUAAGGUCAUCUUGCAGGAUGGCAAUGGUUAAUAUGCUCGUCGUCUUGAGUAUCAUUCAAUGCUUGAAUCCCAUGCUUCUGGACAGUUUUAAGAAGAUGAAUAAAAAAGAAAAUCAAGAACCAUAUGGUUUAUAUGUCAUCUGAAGGUCAUUAUGGGUGGCAAGCUCGUUAAUCUUUUGUUGGUUGUGGCACGACCAAAUUGGAGUUUAAUUGUUGCAUGUCCUGUUGGACCAGUUAUGGUGACGAUUGCCGAGAUUCCUCUUAAUCAGCAAUCUAGCAUCUUCAGGAGAACCCAAGUGCGAAUUGAUCUCCACUAUAGUCAUGAGCCUUAGAAAGGACAGGCAAAGCUAGCUCCACGUCAUAAAGAUGACUAGCAAGUUGGGCAAUCACUCGAUUGCAAAAAUUUCCACAUACAAUCUACAACAGCAUUAUCUACACAACCGUACGUGGAUAUUUGACAUGUGAGAGAUUGACUUUAUUCACUAAGCAUAUUAGCUUUAUCACAAAAAAAAAAAAAGGGUUAAUAAUCUGUCAGCACCGGUCAUUGCUUUCCAAGCUGAUUCGAUGAAUGAUGGUAUGUUUUGUGUUCUUACGUUUUUGCAAGUCAUUAAUCAUCGGGAAAGUCCAUGGGUAGAAUUGACGCAGAAGAUAUGCAAUCUAACUCGUGAUGCCCCGAAGAUCAUUUCAUGCCAUUCAAACCUAACAACUACUGUGGAGCCAUGAUUCGAACGGACCUUUCUCAUAUGCAGUAGGAUUCUAGACUUCUAGUACCUCUUGAGCCACAACUAAUGCUAGGGGUUCUGAGAUAGAAUUGAGGGGUUGGAGAUAGAGGGAAUGAAUGAUGGAAGCAUGAUCUCACAAGGCACUGAGAUUGCCACCGAAAGAUAUGGUCUUGGCCGACGAGGAUUCUCUGCAAAAGAUACAAGCCAUCAAACUUCGUAGGCCAUACUUUCCAAAACGUAAUCCAUUUGCUUUACGACUCCUUUAACUAAAGUGAAAAGAAUUCCGCUGCCUCAUGCCCCCCUACUUUUGAUGAUGCUCUGACUAGAAAAGUUGACGGAGAUAAGAGAAACGUACAUAAGCAAAGAAACUGCUGGUCCUUUUAUCAAUUCUCUUUUAGCAAAAGAGGGAAUUACACGUUCAUCAUUGUCAGCAUGCCGGUAAUGAUGGUUAUAAUUAUGUUAUCUGUGGCUGCCUUAUGGUAGCUAUAUAAACGAGCUUCUACCUGGACGGUUGUAUGCAUUGGAGGAGCGAGGCGAAGAAUCCACCAUGAUAGUUUUGAGCAUUGGAAGCAAGAAGAUUCAUGCGAUGGGUUGGGCGAAGAGAUUUGGGAGGAGAGAAGAUGGGAUAUCUCCCGAGAACGCUCAAGGGAGUCUGGUGACGGAGUGGUGGAGGAGGUCAACAUCUGUGAGGCAGAUGGUAUGGAAGCUCAGGUCUCGAUGGAGGCAUGCGAUGAGAUCUUCAAGGAGGAAUGGGAUGAGAUUUGGUUACGAUCCCAAGAGCUAUUCUCAGAACUUUGAUGAUGGUUUCCUCCACGAUUAUCUCGCACCUUGUACCCUCAGCUAAGCUAUAUUCGCUGAGAAAAUUUUUGGAUGGGGUCGUCCUUUUUCUUUCUUUUUUUUAUUAUUUUAAGAAAAAGGUUCCCCUGCUUCUUGGAUGUGGGUUUUCCUUUAUAUGUAUAUGUAUAUGCCUUAUAAUUAGGGAUAAUUGUUGGCCAGGUCAUUUGUCACUUGGCAACAAGGAUGUUAUGUGACAUUUUGACAUUGCAAGUAUGUUUGUGGUUCAUUACAAUU
Elaeis guineensis (African oil palm) is the source of this 3991-nucleotide non-coding RNA. Lineage: Eukaryota; Viridiplantae; Streptophyta; Magnoliopsida; Arecales; Arecaceae. The record is from RefSeq and is a predicted model, not a curated record.